Molecule: ribosomal RNA, 368 nt
Filed under: uncultured organism
Description: bacterial SSU rRNA
Rfam family: Bacterial small subunit ribosomal RNA
Source: RNAcentral
CGGAGGGUGCAAGCGUUAUCCGGAUUCACUGGGUUUAAAGGGUGUGUAGGCGGGCAUUUAAGUCAGUGGUGAAAUCUCCGAGCUCAACUCGGAAACUGCCAUUGAUACUAUUUGUCUUGAAUAUCGUUGAGGUUGGCGGAAUAUAUCAUGUAGCGGUGAAAUGCUUAGAUAUGAUAUAGAACACCGAUUGCGAAGGCAGCUAACUAAGCGAUGAUUGACGCUGAGGCACGAAAGCGUGGGGAUCAAACAGGAUUAGAUACCCUGGUAGUCCACGCCCUAAACGAUGAUUACUCGACAUACGCGAUACACAGUGUGUGUCUGAGCGAAAGCAUUAAGUAAUCCACCUGGGAAGUACGUCCGCAAGGAUG